This is a long non-coding RNA of Columba livia (rock pigeon), 590 nucleotides long. RefSeq lists it as uncharacterized. The record is from RefSeq and is a predicted model, not a curated record. Lineage: Eukaryota; Metazoa; Chordata; Aves; Columbiformes; Columbidae. The transcript has 3 exons.
CACACAUGAACCACCAUCAGAAGAUCCCCUGGAGGAACGAUACCAGCUCAGGUGCAGCACACUCUGAACACUAAGUGAGUGCUUUAUGAUUUCAGGAUCCAGGCACAUCUCUCCAGGCUUAUCCUUGAGCAGUGUCCUCUUCAGGGAGAUCGACGUUUACCUGGAAUUCCUCUCCAAGGGAUCACGGAAGCGGCUGCACAGAGAUCCCAUAGCUCACCUCCAAGCAGAACUGGGCAGACUGGGAGAAAGACGGGCACAAUGGAAACCCCUAAGAGAAGCGAGUGGGAAGAACCAAGUGUUGCUUGCUGUGGUGGCAGUGGCUCCCUGCUCCGCCUUGGCAGCACAUACAUGGCAGAGUGACCGUGCCUCAGGCCACCUCCACUCCCAAAACGAAGAAUGCACUGUCUGGUCCUCCUGUGAGGUUACCCCAGGUGAACCCCAGUGCCUGUGCAGGAAAACCGCGGGCAGCCUGCGGUGUUUCCCCUGCGCAGCCACUGCCAAGCUCUGCCAGCACCCGGCCCUCCAGCACCACUCCGCAGACCAGCAGAAAACCCUCCUUCCUGAUGAAAGAAAACGGGCUUUUUUCCAAA